AGCUCCCUCGCACGUCGUGUACUGAUGCCAGAGCUGGAAGAUGACGUCAUCUUCCGGCUCUGGUAUCAGUGUGGUGCACGAGGGAGCU
Molecule: non-coding RNA, 88 nt
Organism: Pelobates cultripes (western spadefoot toad)
Lineage: Eukaryota; Metazoa; Chordata; Amphibia; Anura; Pelobatidae
Source: the annotation of a GenBank genome assembly